Molecule: ribosomal RNA, 350 nt
Filed under: uncultured bacterium
Lineage: Bacteria
Description: bacterial SSU rRNA
Rfam family: Bacterial small subunit ribosomal RNA
Source: RNAcentral
GGACCCGCACAAGUAGUGGAGCAUGUGGUUUAAUUCGAAGAUACGCGCAGAACCUUACCAACACUUGACAUGUUCGUCGCGACUCUAAGAGAUUAGAGUUUUCGGUUCGGCCGGACGAAACACAGGUGCUGCAUGGCUGUCGUCAGCUCGUGUCGUGAGAUGUUGGGUUAAGUCCCGCAACGAGCGCAACCCUCACUUUUAGUUGCCAUCAUUAAGUUGGCACUCUGAAAGAACUGCCAGUGAUAAGCUGGAGGAAGGUGGGGAUGACGUCAAGUCCUCAUGGCCCUUACGUGUUGGGCUACACACGUGCUACAAUGGUAUCUACAACAGGAAGCAAAACCGACGAGGUU